GACCCGCCUCACUAAGACCCGCCUCACUACGGACCCGCCCCACUACAGACCCGCCCCACUAAGACCCACCUCACUAAGACCCGCCUCACUACAGACCCGCCCCACUACGGACCCGCCCCACUAUGGACCCUCCUCACUGCAGACCUGUUCGCUCAAGUGGAACAGGCCGGUCCGGGCCCCAUCUGAGGCUGCGAGGGCCGCGGAGAUACGGAUGCUGGUCCCAGGUGCCUUCGGAGCUGGCCUAAGGUUCCACCCUGGCCCUCCCACCAGACCCCGUGUGACACAGCCUCCAGCCCUCUGUCCCCUGGGGGCCCUUCAGCUCUGGUAUUCAGUCAGAAAUCCUAACACACCUUUCUUUUGUUUAUUUAUAUUCUUUAGUUUUGUGCACACUUUGAGGAAUUGAUUUAGGACAGGUUCAUACUGAAAAAAACCUCAGCUGAUGUUAUCUGUGGGGGCUGGGGAGGGUGUCAGGGACAUUUGGUGGCUGAGGAGAGCGCGUCACUGCUAUUGAAUAGCUCCAUUUAACACCAGCCAUGUCUCCGCGUCUCAGGCACUUCUGUGAAAUGUUCUCAGAACCCUGUGGUGACUGCGGCACACCCGGCAGGCCUUGCUAGCACACGCCGCCCACUGGCAGGGCCCGGCCACCCUGGCUGUUGCCAUUCUUUCGUAGGGUUUUGUUCAUUUUACUAUUUGUCAUUUUUCUAGGAAACAUCUGUUUUUGUAAAACAAACAAGGGGGAAUCAAGUAUUUUAACCACAAAGUAUAAAUACUGGCUCUAAGCUUUCAUCACUUCAUUGACAAACUGAAUGCUGAGGAGGCUGAAGGCGAGGAGGCUUUUGCGGAUGUGGACCUUGAGCUGCGUGUUUGGGAGACGCACAGGCCUCGGGGAGACUCAAGCCAGAUGCCAGCCACGGGGACCACAGCCUUGGCCCAAGAGUGGCAUUUGUGGGAAAAAGGAAACUUCAAGAAAAACACCCCUCCUGCUUCUCUUCCAGCAGCUCGUCUCCUUCUGGAAGGAUGUGGGGAGCGUCCAGGGUAACUAAGUGCUCUGCGUCCACCAGAGUCACGUCUCCCCAGGAGGGCUGGGCCGCCUACGCCAGCACCUGCUGCACCCCCAUGUGGUCCGGGGAGCAGUGCCGGUCCCCGCAGGGCAGCUUUUUCAUCAGCCGUUGGAGCUUGCUGGGGAAGCUCUGGUUCAUGUAGCGGUAGAGAAGUGGUGUCACAAAGCUGCUGGAGAAGGCCAGGAGUUUGGAGAAAUCCUUCACAAAGUGCAGUAGCCCCAGGUAGUGUGCGUCCACGGGCUUCCCUCGCGAGAUGAUGACCGUGUGCCCCAGCAGGAUCAGAUAGUGUGGCGUCCAGAGCCCAAACUGCGUGCACACGGUGGCCACCAGCAGCCUGUGUGCCGAGGGCUCCAGCCGGCCCGUGUCCCGGUCCAGGGGCGUGUCCUCCCUGCGGACGCGGGAGAGUAGCACCAGCGCGUAGAGGGUGGCCAGUGCUGGCACCACGUAGCCGAUGAACACCAGCGUGGCGUCGGCAGCUUCUGCGUUCUGCAUCUUGGCGCACUCUAGCGCGCGGGUGGACACAUGGCUGCAGAUGUAGAAGAGCAGCGAGGAGAAGCUGGUCAGCAGCGCGCCACCCCACACGAAGCCGCACACGUGCCGCGUGUUGUACACGCUGGCCAUGUAGGUCCGCGGCAGUGCACGCUCGAUGUAGUGGUCGAGGCUCAGCAGGGCGGUGGAGUACAUGGCCACCAGUGAGGACACAUUGAAGGGGAUCUGCAGUGCCACGUGGACUUCGCCGCCCACACUCCACAGCGCCCACCGGGAGCUCGGGGGGCCGAGCAGGUGCACAGGGGCCAGGGCGCUGAGCACCAGGCCUGCCACUGCCAUGUUGACAAAGUACACGUCCGGCAUGGUCAUGCUGGCCUUGCUGUGUAGGUUGGCCAGCACCAGCAGGGCGUUGUAGCACAGGCAGCUCCUCCACCAGCCCUGUGCCGUUGAACCAGCUGCAGCUCCACAUGGCGGCCGGCGAGGCUCCGCGACCCUGCGGAAAGAAGGAACAGGUGGUCAGCUCGCGUCCCGUCCCAAAGCCCUGGCCCAGAAGUGCUGCAGGUACAGGGGUGCCUUCUCCUGGUGCAGUAAUCGCUGCAGACCACAGAGCGAGGCUGCCUUUGGUGCAUUUCUGUGAAAGUGAAGUUGAGCGUUGAAAAAUGGCCGUCUCGGGUCGUGACCGGGG
This 2235-nucleotide long non-coding RNA is filed under the name Homo sapiens (human). RNAcentral's name for it is "non-protein coding lnc-COX19-2:1". The record is from RNAcentral. Lineage: Eukaryota; Metazoa; Chordata; Mammalia; Primates; Hominidae.